AUACCUCCUUCGGGAGAAAGAAGGCCUCUCUUUGAAGCUUUCGCUACUAGAUGAGCCUGCGUAAGAUUAGCUUGUUGGUGAGGUAAAGGCUCACCAAGGCGACGAUCUUUAGCGGGUCUGAGAGGACGAUCCGCCACAUUGGGACUGAGACACGGCCCAGACUCCUACGGGAGGCAGCAGUGGGGAAUAUUGGACAAUGGGCGCAAGCCUGAUCCAGCCAUACCGCGUGUGUGAAGAAGGCCCUAGGGUUGUAAAGCACUUUAAGUUGGGAAGAAAAGUUAUUGAUUGAUACCCAAUAACCGUGACAUUACCAUCAGAAUAAGGACCGGCUAAUUCCGUGCCAGCAGCCGCGGUAAUACGGAAGGUCCAAGCGUUAAUCGGAAUUACUGGGCGUAAAGCGCGCGUAGGUGGUUUAUUAAGUUGGAUGUGAAAUCCCCGGGCUCAACCUGGGAACUGCAUUCAAAACUGAUUCACUAGAGUACGAUAGAGGGAGGUAGAAUUCACAGUGUAGCGGUGGAAUGCGUAGAUAUUGUGAAGAAUACCAAUGGCGAAGGCAGCCUCCUGGAUCUGUACUGACACUGAGGUGCGAAAGCGUGGGUAGCGAACAGGAUUAGAUACCCUGGUAGUCCACGCCGUAAACGAUGUCAACUAGCUGUUGGAGAACUAUGUUCUUCAGUGGCGCAGCUAACGUAGUAAGUUGACCGCCUGGGGAGUACGG
This 718-nucleotide ribosomal RNA is filed under the name uncultured Gammaproteobacteria bacterium. Its description in RNAcentral is "bacterial SSU rRNA". It matches the Rfam family "Bacterial small subunit ribosomal RNA", at positions 187 to 885 of the family's 1533-position model. The record is from RNAcentral. Lineage: Bacteria; Pseudomonadati; Pseudomonadota; Gammaproteobacteria.